UACGUAGGGGGCGAGCGUUGUCCGAAUUCACUGGGCGUAAAGCGCGCGUAGGCGGACUUUUAAGUUGGUGGUGAAAUUCCGAGGCUUAACCUCGGAACUGCCUCCAAAACUGGGAGUCUUGAGGUAUGGAGAGGGAAGUGGAAUUCCUGGUGUAGCGGUGAAAUGCGUAGAUAUCAGGAGGAACACCUGUGGCGAAGGCGGCUUCCUGGCCACAUCCUGACGCUGAGGUGCGAAAGCUAGGGGAGCAAACGGG
This 253-nucleotide ribosomal RNA is filed under the name uncultured bacterium. RNAcentral describes it as "partial 16S ribosomal RNA". It matches the Rfam family "Bacterial small subunit ribosomal RNA", at positions 524 to 776 of the family's 1533-position model. The record is from RNAcentral.